This 23-nucleotide microRNA is filed under the name Chrysemys picta bellii (western painted turtle). RNAcentral describes it as "Cpi-Mir-430-P3_5p* (star (passenger))". Lineage: Eukaryota; Metazoa; Chordata; Testudines; Emydidae. The record is from RNAcentral.
ACUUUAAUGUGGAAGUACUUGCU